RNAcentral lists this ribosomal RNA (301 nucleotides) under Calanus sinicus. RNAcentral describes it as "partial 18S ribosomal RNA". The record is from RNAcentral. Lineage: Eukaryota; Metazoa; Arthropoda; Copepoda; Calanoida; Calanidae.
CGGCCUGUUCUAGGGGGCGGGGCCUGCCUGCCCUCGACCUGACACUUUUUGCGCCGGGCGACUGAUAGUUUGUCGGUUGCCUGUGCCUUGGCGGCCCGACGCACGAGGUACUGUAGCCCGGUGAUCCGGAAAAGGCGAAAAGGCCUGCUCCAGGAGGGUAUAGCUUCCGGGAACAGUUCAAAAAGCCCUCGCUUCCCCUCGGGUUUGUGGUCCCCCCCCUGGUGGGAUAGGGAGCAGUAAAUUGAUUUAACGGGGGCUCUGUCCCGAAUCGCUCACACUCUAUAUUUGAGAAUCCUAAUAC